AAUCCAGAGAUGGAUUUGUGCCUUCGGGAACUGUGAGACAGGUGCUGCAUGGCUGUCGUCAGCUCGUGUUGUGAAAUGUUGGGUUAAGUCCCGCAACGAGCGCAACCCUUAUCCUUUGUUGCCAGCGGUUAGGCCGGGAACUCAAAGGAGACUGCCAGUGAUAAACUGGAGGAAGGUGGGGAUGACGUCAAGUCAUCAUGGCCCUUACGACCAGGGCUACACACGUGCUACAAUGGCGCAUACAAAGAGAAGCGACCUCGCAAGAGCAAGCGGACCUCAUAAAGUGCGUCGUAGUCCGGAUUGGAGUCUGCAACUCGACUCCAUGAAGUCGGAAUCGCUAGUAAUCGUGGAUCAGAAUGCCACGGUGAAUACGUUCCCGGGCCUUGUACACACCGCCCGUCACACCAUGGGAGUGGGUUGCAAAAGAAGUAGGUAGCUUAACCUUCGGGAGGGCGCUUACCACUUUGUGAUUCAUGACUGGGGUGAAGUCGUAACAAGGUAACCGUAGGGGAACCUGCGGUUGGAUCACCUCCUUACCUUAAAGAA
RNAcentral lists this ribosomal RNA (546 nucleotides) under Salmonella enterica subsp. enterica serovar Derby. RNAcentral's name for it is "bacterial SSU rRNA". It matches the Rfam family "Bacterial small subunit ribosomal RNA", at positions 997 to 1533 of the family's 1533-position model. Lineage: Bacteria; Pseudomonadati; Pseudomonadota; Gammaproteobacteria; Enterobacterales; Enterobacteriaceae. The record is from RNAcentral.